Mustela erminea (ermine) is the source of this 673-nucleotide long non-coding RNA. RefSeq lists it as uncharacterized. The record is from RefSeq and is a predicted model, not a curated record. The transcript is spliced from 3 exons. Lineage: Eukaryota; Metazoa; Chordata; Mammalia; Carnivora; Mustelidae.
AAAAAAUAAAAAAUAAAAAAAAAUGAGAUAAACCACAUAACUUCUCUUGAACACAUCCAAGAGCUAAGGUUUCAGGUCAGCCAAAUACUCUCAGGAGAGAUAGACCUUCCCAAGGAGACACAGGGAAGAGCCGUAGCUGACCUGUGGCAGAGCCUGGCAGGAGGAGACACCAAAUACCAUGUAUACCUGUAAGAAGAAUUCAGGUAGAUUUUUAAUAUUAACUGCUAAAGGCUUACCAUGAGGUAACAAGAAGUGUAGAAUCCCUGAAAGUGCAGACACAAUGGGAAUUUAUACCCACUAGCAGGCUCUUCUCAGAAUUCACCAGGUGCUCCAGAGAGACCAGAGGCAGAGAUGCAGGCUUGGAAAGGGAGCAGCCAUCACUACAAGAAAGACAUGGAGCUCUGCCCAGACCCUACUUCCUUAGAGUCAAAAGCCCUAGGGAGAAGGGCAGCACCCUUGCAGGGAACAGGCAAAGACCACAGAAGACCACGGUGAUUGAGAUAAAGGAAACCCCAAGAAUCAAGGAAUAGCAUCCUUCCAUGGUAGAAAGACCCUUCGAGGGCUCAGGACCACAGGGAAGUCUGCACAGACAGCAGCCAACGGCAGACGUCUGUCAGAUGUGGAAAGGGGACGUGACAGGACAGAACCACAUACCUGGAAGAAUGGAAUCCCA